RNAcentral lists this long non-coding RNA (2438 nucleotides) under Canis lupus familiaris (dog). RNAcentral describes it as "lncRNA (ENSCAFG00030012101.1)". The record is from RNAcentral. Lineage: Eukaryota; Metazoa; Chordata; Mammalia; Carnivora; Canidae.
UUUAUUUUGAAUUUGAUAGUCUGUGGGGUUUUUUGGUUCUGUUCAGAGCAAAUGAGCAUUUUCCUUUUAGUCUUUAGACAGUUGUAUAAAUGGAUCUGUCAGUCAGAUGUAACAAAACACACAGCCCCUUUUCCUCUAGAUGAUGAUAAAGAUUGUAAGAAUGAUAAUGAUGAUUGAUGGCCAUGGAGCUGCCUCAUCUGGGCUGCUCCUGCCAAGAGUUGCUAGGGGUUUUGCAGAGGAACAUUCCUUCUCCUUAGUGAGGGAGGAGCUGGGUGUGGCAGGUAUGAAGGAGACAAAUUAUGAGUUCUUUAGGUCUAUCUGCUUGAUCUCUCAGAAAGCCACCUAGGAAAAACUAGAAUUGGUGAUGCUGGCACAGAAAUCUCCACCCCAUCCACAUUCUUGGGGAUACCAUGGGCAAGACACAGAAAAUGAGGCCCCUACAGUUGGAAGAGAAUGGACUCUAUCCUGGACCUGGCUCUCCUGGUUCGUGACCCUGGGCAAACUCACCAUCCUGAGAUUGAACUGGCUGAACCAGCUAGACGACCCAUAUACAGACAUAGUUCUGAUAAAUGGUGGAGCAGGAGGAAAAGGGAAAAGGGAAGUAGAGCCGGGCAGCACCAUAGAAACACUUUUGCCAUAGUCAGGCACGGGUUCAAAUCCUAGCUUUUUGAAAUCUGUGCCACCCUGGGUGAGGUACUGAAAAUCUCUUAUAGGCUGUGUGAUUGCUGCACUUUUCUAUAGCGUCAUGCCUGGGGAUACGAUAUCCUCCUUGUCCGGUCAACAUUAGGUUUGUUGGGUGACUGAGUGAGGCCAAUAAGAUAUAAGUGGAAGUGACCUGAGCCCCUUCUGAGUAGAAGCUUGGUCCCCCUCAUCCUUGUUUAUCCUUUACCUUGGGAAUGGUGACAUCUCAGAGAAGGGUGGCUCCUUAAGCCUGGGUUUUGGAUGGAAUCCACCAUAGCCAUAUGUAAUGUGAGUAAGAAAUAAACUUGUGUGGUUGUCAGCCACUUGAACUUGAGAGUUGUUUGUUACUGCAGCAUAACAGAACCACAGUUGACUGGUGUGCUCCCAAACUCAGUUUCCUCAUCUGCAAACAUGGGUAUAAAUGAAUCUAUUUGGGGCAAGAAAUAGUAAUGAUAACGAUGAUGACAAUGCUGAUAGUCCUCAUAAUAAAAACUAACAUGGGGCACCUGGGUGGCUCAGUGGUUGAGCUCUGCCUUUGGCUUGGGUAGAGAUCUUGGGGUCCUGGGAUCGAGUCUCACAUUGGGCUCCCCAUGGGAAGCCUUCUUCUCCCUCUGCCUGUGUCUCUGCUUCUCUGUGUCUCUCAUGAAUAAAUAAGUCAAAAAAAAAAAAAAAAAGCUAACAUGUAGUGAGCACUUCUGCUGUGCUUGGUUCUAAGUGUUCUAUAUGUAGUAGCUCAUUUGUUCCACAAACAAACAAACCAUCAUUAGAGGAAUACUAUUGUCCACAUUUUGCAGAGGAAGAAACAGGUACAGAGAGGCUUAUGUAUGUGAAGGAGGCUGGAUUGUGGCAAGAAAUUAAUAAGUGUUACCUUUCCUCUCCUUGCAUUGAUGGUAAUGGUAGUUUUGAUGCCUUUUCCCACCACCUUCAUCCCCUACUCCCUGACUUCCUGCUCAAGAGAAAUUAUCAGAGGCAUUAGAGUGACCCAUGAAAUUGCUAAAUGAUAUACUUCCUCUGAAGGUCCAUCAGCGGUGGGACAUGGACAGAUGUCACAUUCUGUGGGUCUUUCCAUCCAGCCCCAGGCCUCAUGGACCUUGCCUGGGGCUGUUUGGCUGUGGCCAAGUGUUGUGUCUCCUAUCACAGGAUCAAGUUCUGCAGAGUGAGGAGUUAUAAUACAUGAUCUCAUGAUUAGCUUCAAUUACCACUGUUCCCACCACUUCCUAUGUGGCCUGGUUGCUCCUCUAGUUUGUUUUAAUUGAAUGAAAUUUACUUACGUUAAUGGCAAAUUCAGACCAUUUGCAAAAGACAUAGCUUGAGAAUUUUGAAUGAGAUUUGGGUUAGGGAUGGGAUUGUCAUGCCUUUUCCUUUGUGAAAUCCUGGGGCAGGAGGUUAGCACAAGCAUCUUUACACAGAACAGCUGCUUCAUGUAACUAUUGCCAAAGCCCAGGGAGUUUUGUCAGGGUAAAUUAAAAGGCAAUAAUUUCAAACACAGUGGGCUCUGAAGUUGCUUUUCCUUUCUCUGAAAAAAUAAUAAUGAUAAUUAACUGUCACUUCACAAUGUUUUGAAGGCUAAAAAUUCAUAUAUCCCAAUAUUGUGCAGUCAUUAGUUCCUAGGUCGCAUAGUGAUGUGCAGGGCUUAGCACAGCAGAGUGGGAACUCCUGUGGCCCGGGCAGUGUGAGCUGUUCAAAAGACCAUAUGAUAUAUUCUCUGCUCCCUGAUGCAUUUUAUCUUAUUUGAAAGAAAGCACAUAUGCAUUCUG